GACGAACGCUGGCGGCGUGCCUAAUACGUGCAAGUCGAGCGCAGGAAAUUGACGGAACCCUUCGGGGGGAAGUCGACGGAAUGAGCGGCGGACGGGUGAGUAACACGUAGAGAACCUGCCCUCAGGUCUGGGAUAACCACGAGAAAUCGGGGCUAAUACCGGAUGGGUCAUCGGACCGCAUGGUCCGAGGAUGAAAGGCGCUUCGGCGUCGCCUGGGGAUGGCUUUGCGGUGCAUUAGCUAGUUGGUGGGGUAAUGGCCCACCAAGGCGACGAUGCAUAGCCGACCUGAGAGGGUGAUCGGCCACACUGGGACUGAGACACGGCCCAGACUCCUACGGGAGGCAGCAGUAGGGAAUCUUCCACAAUGGACGAAAGUCUGAUGGAGCAACGCCGCGUGAACGAUGAAGGCCUUCGGGUCGUAAAGUUCUGUUGUAAGGGAAGAACAAGUGCCGCAGGCAAUGGCGGCACCUUGACGGUACCUUGCGAGAAAGCCACGGCUAACUACGUGCCAGCAGCCGCCGUAA
RNAcentral lists this ribosomal RNA (524 nucleotides) under uncultured bacterium. RNAcentral describes it as "partial 16S ribosomal RNA". It matches the Rfam family "Bacterial small subunit ribosomal RNA", at positions 28 to 523 of the family's 1533-position model. The record is from RNAcentral.